UUCACGCAAGUGCCCGAACUGUCUGAGCAAGAGCCCUGCAAAACAAAACUUGCAUUGUUUACACUCUGUGAAAGCAAUCAACACAGACUGCAUGCAGACAUGCAUCACGUCACUGGCAUAAGAUCAUUUCCAUGACAUAUCUCUCAGGUUGUCUGUUGGAGCCAAAUGGAACUACAUAGAUCCAAGUGGAGCAGGUGAGAUGGACAUCUCUGGUUAAACACCCUGACAUGGAGCUGUCUGUCUGUUACAUCAUUCAAACUUGGACCCGGAUCAGUGGAAAUCAUCAAGUUGAACAUCUGACGUCUGGAAUCAGCUUAGAUUUAGACACAAAAGCUGUUAUCACAUAGCAACAGGAGUAGAGUCAACAAUACAGGUGGUGUUAUCACAUGGCAACAGUAGGAGUAGAGUCAACAAUGCAGGGGGUGUUAUCACAUGGCAACAGUAGGAGUAGAGUCAACAAUACAGGAGGUGUUAUCACAUGGCAACAGUAGGAGUAGAGUCAACAAUACAGGGGGUGUUAUCACAUGGCAACAGUAGGAGUAGAGUCAACAAUACAGGUGGUGUUAUCACAUGGCAACAGUAGGAGUAGAGUCAACAAUACAGGGGGUGUUAUCACAUGGCAACAGUAGGAGUAGAGUCAACAAUACAGGGGGUGUUAUCACAUGGCAACAGUAGGAGAAGAGUCAACAAUACAGGGGGUGUUAUCACAUGGCAACAGUAGGAGUAGAGUCAACAAUACAGGGGGUGUUAUCACAUGGCAACAGUAGGAGUAGAGUCAACAAUACAGGAGGUGUUAUCACAUGGCAACAGUAGGAGUAGAGUCAACAAUACAGGUGGUGUUAUCACAUAGCAACAGGAGUAGA
Molecule: long non-coding RNA, 863 nt
Organism: Haliotis rubra (blacklip abalone)
Lineage: Eukaryota; Metazoa; Mollusca; Gastropoda; Lepetellida; Haliotidae
Exons: 3
Source: RefSeq, a predicted model, not a curated record